Molecule: ribosomal RNA, 286 nt
Filed under: uncultured Methylomirabilota bacterium
Lineage: Bacteria; Methylomirabilota (SeqCode)
Description: uncultured candidate division NC10 bacterium partial 16S ribosomal RNA
Rfam family: Bacterial small subunit ribosomal RNA
Source: RNAcentral
UCGUGUCGUGAGAUGUUGGGUUAAGUCCCGCAACGAGCGCAACCCUCACCCCUAGUUGCCACCGGGUAAAGCCGAGCACUCGAGGGGAACUGCCAGCGUCAAGCUGGAGGAAGGCGGGGAUGACGUCAAGUCAUCAUGCCCCUUACGUCCUGGGCUACACACGUGCUACAAUGGCCGGUACAAAGGGAUGCCACACCGCGAGGUAGAGCUAAACCCAAAAAGCCGGUCUAAGUUCAGAUUGGAGUCUGCAACUCGACUCUAUGAAGGAGGAAUCGCUAGUAAUCGC